GAUGAACGCUGGCGGCGUGCCUAAUACAUGCAAGUCGAGCGAACAGACGAGGAGCUUGCUCCUCUGACGUUAGCGGCGGACGGGUGAGUAACACGUGGAUAACCUACCUAUAAGACUGGGAUAACUUCGGGAAACCGGAGCUAAUACCGGAUAAUAUAUUGAACCGCAUGGUUCAAUAGUGAAAGACGGUUUUGCUGUCACUUAUAGAUGGCUCCGCGCCGCAUUAGCUAGUUGGUAAGGUAACGGCUUACCAAGGCAACGAUGCGUAGCCGACCUGAGAGGGUGAUCGGCCACACUGGAACUGAGACACGGUCCAGACUCCUACGGGAGGCGGCAGUAGGGAAUCUUCCGCAAUGGGCGAAAGCCUGACGGAGCAACGCCGCGUGAGUGAUGAAGGUCUUCGGAUCGUAAAACUCUGUUAUUAGGGAAGAACAAAUGUGUAAGUAACUAUGCACGUCUUGACGGUACCUAAUCAGAAAGCCACGGCUAACUACGUG
This 497-nucleotide ribosomal RNA is filed under the name uncultured bacterium. RNAcentral describes it as "partial 16S ribosomal RNA". It matches the Rfam family "Bacterial small subunit ribosomal RNA", at positions 28 to 507 of the family's 1533-position model. The record is from RNAcentral.